RNAcentral lists this ribosomal RNA (1416 nucleotides) under Staphylococcus aureus. RNAcentral's name for it is "partial 23S ribosomal RNA". It matches the Rfam family "Bacterial large subunit ribosomal RNA", at positions 822 to 2238 of the family's 2925-position model. The record is from RNAcentral. Lineage: Bacteria; Bacillati; Bacillota; Bacilli; Caryophanales; Staphylococcaceae.
AGAAAUUCCAAUCGAACCUGGAGAUAGCUGGUUCUCUCCGAAAUAGCUUUAGGGCUAGCCUCAAGUGAUGAUUAUUGGAGGUAGAGCACUGUUUGGACGAGGGGCCCCUCUCGGGUUACCGAAUUCAGACAAACUCCGAAUGCCAAUUAAUUUAACUUGGGAGUCAGAACAUGGGUGAUAAGGUCCGUGUUCGAAAGGGAAACAGCCCAGACCACCAGCUAAGGUCCCAAAAUAUAUGUUAAGUGGAAAAGGAUGUGGCGUUGCCCAGACAACUAGGAUGUUGGCUUAGAAGCAGCCAUCAUUUAAAGAGUGCGUAAUAGCUCACUAGUCGAGUGACACUGCGCCGAAAAUGUACCGGGGCUAAACAUAUUACCGAAGCUGUGGAUUGUCCUUUGGACAAUGGUAGGAGAGCGUUCUAAGGGCGUUGAAGCAUGAUCGUAAGGACAUGUGGAGCGCUUAGAAGUGAGAAUGCCGGUGUGAGUAGCGAAAGACGGGUGAGAAUCCCGUCCACCGAUUGACUAAGGUUUCCAGAGGAAGGCUCGUCCGCUCUGGGUUAGUCGGGUCCUAAGCUGAGGCCGACAGGCGUAGGCGAUGGAUAACAGGUUGAUAUUCCUGUACCACCUAUAAUCGUUUUAAUCGAUGGGGGGACGCAGUAGGAUAGGCGAAGCGUGCGAUUGGAUUGCACGUCUAAGCAGUAAGGCUGAGUAUUAGGCAAAUCCGGUACUCGUUAAGGCUGAGCUGUGAUGGGGAGAAGACAUUGUGUCUUCGAGUCGUUGAUUUCACACUGCCGAGAAAAGCCUCUAGAUAGAAAAUAGGUGCCCGUACCGCAAACCGACACAGGUAGUCAAGAUGAGAAUUCUAAGGUGAGCGAGCGAACUCUCGUUAAGGAACUCGGCAAAAUGACCCCGUAACUUCGGGAGAAGGGGUGCUCUUUAGGGUUAACGCCCAGAAGAGCCGCAGUGAAUAGGCCCAAGCGACUGUUUAUCAAAAACACAGGUCUCUGCUAAACCGUAAGGUGAUGUAUAGGGGCUGACGCCUGCCCGGUGCUGGAAGGUUAAGAGGAGUGGUUAGCUUCUGCGAAGCUACGAAUCGAAGCCCCAGUAAACGGCGGCCGUAACUAUAACGGUCCUAAGGUAGCGAAAUUCCUUGUCGGGUAAGUUCCGACCCGCACGAAAGGCGUAACGAUUUGGGCACUGUCUCAACGAGAGACUCGGUGAAAUCAUAGUACCUGUGAAGAUGCAGGUUACCCGCGACAGGACGGAAAGACCCCGUGGAGCUUUACUGUAGCCUGAUAUUGAAAUUCGGCACAGCUUGUACAGGAUAGGUAGGAGCCUUUGAAACGUGAGCGCUAGCUUACGUGGAGGCGCUGGUGGGAUACUACCCUAGCUGUGUUGGCUUUCUAACCCGCACCACUUA